CUGAAAAUCAGAUAAUGAAGUUCAAGAUCAGCAAGGCUUGCGAUCUGAGCUCCAUUUCUGUCCUUCCACCACAUUCUAGGAGAGGAAAUGUAAUCCCACCAGGAGCAGAUACUUCAGUUUUUGGUAAAAGCCAAGGUUCUUCGUAGUUCCGGUUGCAUUCGCAACAGUCAUUUUCACAGGGCAUGUCAAUGUCUCAGCUCUCACGGAAUUCUCAAGAGGAAAUUGUGACAAAUGAACAUGGUUGUGCUAGGAAUCCUAAUCAUGCAUUCAUGGGGCUUGUCAGCAAGGGUCUUGAGCUAUGGAUAUAUUAGGUAUGAAAACUGCACUUUCUAAAAACUGAUUCUUUUCUGAUUUUCUGGCAAAAUAUUGCAAAAACUGGUGCAGAACUCAAGGUACCUGUCAUCCUUGAUCCCUACUCUGAUUGAUUGUCUGUUUGCUGAGUUUGGAGUUCCCAAAGCACCAAUUCACACAGGGAACAAUGUAGUAAACAGUUCCACUGAAAUUCUUGUUCC
This is a long non-coding RNA of Magnolia sinica, 512 nucleotides long. RefSeq lists it as uncharacterized. The transcript has 3 exons. The record is from RefSeq and is a predicted model, not a curated record. NCBI's taxonomy places the organism in Eukaryota, Viridiplantae, Streptophyta, Magnoliopsida, Magnoliales, Magnoliaceae.